Non-coding RNA from Vicia faba (fava bean), 375 nucleotides. Lineage: Eukaryota; Viridiplantae; Streptophyta; Magnoliopsida; Fabales; Fabaceae. The record is from the annotation of a GenBank genome assembly.
GCAAAGUUUAAAAUCAUAACCAAACAACCUAUAAAUUCAUUCAAAAUUGUCCACAUACAACUGGUACAAAUUCUUGUUGUUUUUUUUUUUUACACAAAAAGGAAGAGAGGAGAAAAAUCUGAAGCCAAGAAGGAAAUCGAAAGCAACAACAGUUCAAGAUCGAAAACCGAAACAAAUAGAAACGGAGUUAACCACAAUCGGGACACUCUAGACCCGACGUCCCUCAUUUACAUAUCAGCGGUGGAAUCGCACAACUAUCACCGUCUCAACCUUCAUCUGCACCGGACUCACAGAUCGACGGUACUCACACGACCUUUGUCGGAGCUCUCUAAAUCCACGCCGAUUCCGUCAACACCACCGGUAAUUUUCUUUUAA